GAGGGAAUGACUACGGUGGUUACGGUGAGAGAUUUUAGUGUUUUAUUUGAUGCAUAUUCACAGUUUGAAGAGAGUAUGGUUGCGCAUAAGAUGGAGAAUUUGGACUUGAGUGAUGAGGAAGAGGAUGUGNNNNNNNGCAGGAUGAAGAUGUUCGUUUGGAAGUGAAUUCUAAGUUUGAGAAGAAGAUACUUAGUGGGUUUUGGUUACAUGAUGAUAAUGAUGUGGAUUUGAUGUUGGCCCG
RNAcentral lists this unclassified non-coding RNA (241 nucleotides) under Hevea brasiliensis (rubber tree). The record is from RNAcentral. Lineage: Eukaryota; Viridiplantae; Streptophyta; Magnoliopsida; Malpighiales; Euphorbiaceae.